AUUGAACGCUGGCGGCAUGCCUUACACAUGCAAGUCGAACGGUAACAGGUCUUCGGAUGCUGACGAGUGGCGAACGGGUGAGUAAUACAUCGGAACGUGCCUAGUAGUGGGGGAUAACUACUCGAAAGAGUGGCUAAUACCGCAUGAGAUCUACGGAUGAAAGCAGGGGAUGGCAAGAACUUGUGCUACUAGAGCGGCCGAUGGCAGAUUAGGUAGUUGGUGGGAUAAAAGCUUACCAAGCCGACGAUCUGUAGCUGGUCUGAGAGGACGAUCAGCCACACUGGGACUGAGACACGGCCCAGACUCCUACGGGAGGCAGCAGUGGGGAAUUUUGGACAAUGGGCGAAAGCCUGAUCCAGCAAUGCCGCGUGCAGGAUGAAGGCCUUCGGGUUGUAAACUGCCUUUGUACGGAACGAAAAGCCCCGGGUUAAUACCCUGGGGUCAUGACGGUACCGUAAGAAUAAGCACCGGCUAACUACGUGUCAGCAGCCGCCGUAA
RNAcentral lists this ribosomal RNA (498 nucleotides) under uncultured bacterium. Its description in RNAcentral is "partial 16S ribosomal RNA". It matches the Rfam family "Bacterial small subunit ribosomal RNA", at positions 30 to 523 of the family's 1533-position model. The record is from RNAcentral.